UACGGGGGGAGCAAGCGUUGUUCGGAUUUACUGGGCGUAAAGGGCGCGUAGGCGGUCAGCACAAGUCAGUUGUGAAAUCUCCGAGCUUAACUCGGAAAGGUCAACUGAUACUGUGCGACUAGAGUGCAGAAGGGGGCAACUGGAAUUCUUGGUGUAGCGGUGAAAUGCGUAGAUAUCAAGAGGAACACCUGCGGCGAAGGCGGGUUGCUGGGCUGACACUGACGCUGAAGCGCGAAAGCCAGGGGAGCGAACGGG
Molecule: ribosomal RNA, 255 nt
Filed under: uncultured bacterium
Lineage: Bacteria
Description: partial 16S ribosomal RNA
Rfam family: Bacterial small subunit ribosomal RNA
Source: RNAcentral